RNAcentral lists this ribosomal RNA (486 nucleotides) under uncultured bacterium. Its description in RNAcentral is "partial 16S ribosomal RNA". It matches the Rfam family "Bacterial small subunit ribosomal RNA", at positions 30 to 507 of the family's 1533-position model. The record is from RNAcentral.
AUUGAACGCUGGCGGCAUGCCUUACACAUGCAAGUCGAACGGCAGCACGGGUGCUUGCACCUGGUGGCGAGUGGCGAACGGGUGAGUAAUACAUCGGAACAUGUCCUGUAGUGGGGGAUAGCCCGGCGAAAGCCGGAUUAAUACCGCAUACGAUCUACGGAUGAAAGCGGGGGACCUUCGGGCCUCGCGCUAUAGGGUUGGCCGAUGGCUGAUUAGCUAGUUGGUGGGGUAAAGGCCUACCAAGGCGACGAUCAGUAGCUGGUCUGAGAGGACGACCAGCCACACUGGGACUGAGACACGGCCCAGACUCCUACGGGAGGCAGCAGUGGGGAAUUUUGGACAAUGGGCGAAAGCCUGAUCCAGCAAUGCCGCGUGUGUGAAGAAGGCCUUCGGGUUGUAAAGCACUUUUGUCCGGAAAGAAAUCCUUGGCCCUAAUACGGUCGGGGGAUGACGGUACCGGAAGAAGAAGCACCGGCUAACUACGUG